AUGACAUGUUGAUGACAUCAGACCAGGAGCUACGCAAUCACAAAGGUCACUUCUUCAGUCAAGUGCAGCAGAUGGGAUCUUGAAAGUGCCUACAAGUAGUCUAGAACACCUUGAAUCCGGCUGUGAAAAUGUAGGGUAAAUCUGUAGCUCUCAGUAGGUAAACACCUUAUUUAGGUCUGGAGGCAUUUUGCUAUGUUAUUGAGUCAUGGAAACCUAUUAAAAGAGCUCUAUGGGAAAUCCAGUCUAUAUUUUGAACAAAACAAGCUGUCUUUUUCAUUGUCACUGACCCUUUACAGACACACAGUACAUAAUCUUGAUUGUGCUUCAUUGGUAUUUAUUGCACAUGGACCAAUUCCUCACACAGUAGUUAGUUGCACC
This 378-nucleotide long non-coding RNA is filed under the name Homo sapiens (human). RNAcentral's name for it is "HSALNT0168400". Lineage: Eukaryota; Metazoa; Chordata; Mammalia; Primates; Hominidae. The record is from RNAcentral.